UUUAUCGCUGAAAGAUGAGCUCGCGUCUGAUUAGCUAGUUGGCGGGGUAACGGCCCACCAAGGCGACGAUCAGUAGGGGUUCUGAGAGGAAGGUCCCCCACAUUGGAACUGAGACACGGUCCAAACUCCUACGGGAGGCAGCAGUGAGGAAUAUUGGUCAAUGGACGGGAGUCUGAACCAGCCAAGUAGCGUGCAGGACGACGGCCCUAUGGGUUGUAAACUGCUUUUAUAGGGGGAUAAAGUGUGCCACGUGUGGCAUAUUGCAGGUACCCUAUGAAUAAGGACCGGCUAAUUCCGUGCCAGCAGCCGCGGUAAUACGGAAGGUCCGGGCGUUAUCCGGAUUUAUUGGGUUUAAAGGGAGCGUAGGCCGUCUUAUAAGCGUGUUGUGAAAUGUCGUGGCUCAACCUGGGCAUUGCAGCGCGAACUGUGAGACUUGAGUGCGCAGGAAGUAGGCGGAAUUCGUCGUGUAGCGGUGAAAUGCUUAGAUAUGACGAAGAACUCCGAUUGCGAAGGCAGCCUGCUGUAGCGCAACU
Molecule: ribosomal RNA, 533 nt
Filed under: uncultured bacterium
Lineage: Bacteria
Description: bacterial SSU rRNA
Rfam family: Bacterial small subunit ribosomal RNA
Source: RNAcentral